GACGAACGCUGGCGGCGUGCCUAAUACAUGCAAGUCGAGCGAGCUGGAAUUCAAAGAUCCCUUCGGGGUGCUUUGUUGGACGCUAGCGGCGGAUGGGUGAGUAACACGUGGGCGAAUCCUGCCCUAAAGACUGGGAUACCACUUGGAAACAGGUGCUAAUACCGGAUAACAACAUGAAUACGCAUGAUUCAAGUUUGAAAGGCGGCGCAAGCUGUCACUUUAGGAUGAGCCCGCGGCGCAUUAGCUAGUGUGGGGUAAGCUACAAGGCAAUGAUGCGUAGCCGAGUUGAGAGACUGAUC
RNAcentral lists this ribosomal RNA (299 nucleotides) under uncultured bacterium. Its description in RNAcentral is "partial 16S ribosomal RNA". It matches the Rfam family "Bacterial small subunit ribosomal RNA", at positions 28 to 305 of the family's 1533-position model. The record is from RNAcentral.